This 393-nucleotide ribosomal RNA is filed under the name uncultured bacterium. Its description in RNAcentral is "partial 16S ribosomal RNA". It matches the Rfam family "Bacterial small subunit ribosomal RNA", at positions 523 to 918 of the family's 1533-position model. The record is from RNAcentral.
AUACGGAGGACGCGAGCGUUAUCCGGAUUCAUUGGGUUUAAAGGGUGCGCAGGCGGCCGUGCAAGUCAGCGGUGAAAGCCCGGGGCUCAACCCCGGAAGUGCCGUUGAUACUGCAUGGCUGGAAUGCGGUCGAGGCGGGCGGGAAGUGGGGUGGUGCGGUGAAAUGCGUAGAUAUGCCACAGAACGCCGUUAGCGGAGGCAGCGCGCCAGGCCUGGAUUGACUCUCGGGCACGAAAGCGUGGGGAUCGAACAGGAUUAGAUCCCCUGGUAGUCCACGCCGUAAACGAUGGGCGCUCGUCGUCGGCGGCAGACAGUCGGCGGCCAAGCGAAAGCGAUAAGCGCCCCACCUGGGGAGUACGGUCGCAAGGCUGAAACUCAAAUGAAUUGACGGGG